CGACAACUUCGGGGCUCAUCUGCAAAGUCGUAAGAUCAUGUAUAGGGGUUGACACCUGUUCAGGGGUCGGAAGGUCAAGGAAGUUUGUAACCUGAUGAUAGGAGAGUCAACGAUCGAAGUCCCGGUGAACAGCGGCCAUAACUAUAACGGUCUAAAGAUAGUGAAAUUCAUUGUCGGGUAAAUUUCGAUCCGCACGAAAGGCU
Molecule: non-coding RNA, 203 nt
Filed under: Glycine max (soybean)
Lineage: Eukaryota; Viridiplantae; Streptophyta; Magnoliopsida; Fabales; Fabaceae
Description: Bacterial large subunit ribosomal RNA
Rfam family: Bacterial large subunit ribosomal RNA
Source: Rfam by way of RNAcentral